AAAUAGAUACCCUGGUAGUCCACGCCGUAAACGAUGUCGACUUGGAGGUUGUACCCUUGAGGCGUGGCUUCCGGAGCUAACGCGUUAAGUCGACCGCCUGGGGAGUACGGCCGCAAGGUUAAAACUCAAAUGAAUUGACGGGGGCCCGCACAAGCGGUGGAGCAUGUGGUUUAAUUCGAUGCAACGCGAAGAACCUUACCUACUCUUGACAUCCACGGAAUUUAGCAGAGAUGCUUUAGUGCCUUCGGGAACCGUGAGACAGGUGCUGCAUGGCUGUCGUCAGCUCGUGUUGUGAAAUGUUGGGUUAAGUCCCGCAACGAGCGCAACCCUUAUCCUUUGUUGCCAGCGAUUCGGUCGGGAACUCAAAGGAGACUGCCAGUGAUAAACUGGAGGAAGUGGGGAUGACGUCAAGUCAUCAUGGCCCUUACGAGUAGGGCUACACACGUGCUACAAUGGCAUAUACAAAGAGAAGCGACCUCGCGAGAGCAAGCGGACCUCAUAAAGUAUGUCGUAGUCCGGAUUGGAGUCUGCAAC
RNAcentral lists this ribosomal RNA (534 nucleotides) under uncultured bacterium. RNAcentral describes it as "bacterial SSU rRNA". It matches the Rfam family "Bacterial small subunit ribosomal RNA", at positions 776 to 1311 of the family's 1533-position model. The record is from RNAcentral.